UUGUCCGCUCGAGCCUGGCCUUGCAAAGCUAACUGGUUACCAGCAUUGUGAUCGUUAAUUGCGGCUAGACGCGGUCUAAAACGUGAUAAUCUUCCGCGCGUAGAGUUAUUCAAUUCACUUGAUGUCGUUUCUGUAGUGACAGCGUCUGAGUAUCGUGUAGAAGGAUAAGGUGGACACGCCCUUUCAGGAGAAGAAAGGGAGUAGUUGCUUCGGCGAUAGUUCGUGCAACCCUAAUCGUUAAUGAACUCCGCAAUAGGCCCAUCGGUGUGGCGAGAAUCCAGCCCAAGUGGUAAUGUGCAUUGACACUUGGCUGUACUCACUUCGGCACCUGUCAACUAAAUACUCUAUAGCGACCGAAGGUGGUUAGUUAUGCGGGAUCCAUCAGGCUCUGCUCGAAAGCCUCCUCCAGCCCCC
Molecule: small RNA, 414 nt
Filed under: Histoplasma ohiense
Lineage: Eukaryota; Fungi; Ascomycota; Eurotiomycetes; Onygenales; Ajellomycetaceae
Description: hypothetical lncRNA
Source: RNAcentral